GACGAACGCUGGCGGCGUGCUUAACACAUGCAAGUCGAACGGAAAGGCCCUGCUUUUGUGGGGUGCUCGAGUGGCGAACGGGUGAGUAACACGUGAGUAACCUGCCCUUGACUUUGGGAUAACUUCAGGAAACUGGGGCUAAUACCGGAUAGGAGCUCCUGCUUCAUGGUGGGGGUUGGAAAGUUUCGGCGGUUGGGGAUGGACUCGCGGCUUAUCAGCUUGUUGGUGGGGUAGUGGCUUACCAAGGCUUUGACGGGUAGCCGGCCUGAGAGGGUGACCGGCCACAUUGGGACUGAGAUACGGCCCAGAGUCCUACGGGAGGCAGCAGUGGGGAAUAUUGCACAAUGGGCGGAAGCCUGAUGCAGCAACGCCGCGUGCGGGAUGACGGCCUUCGGGUUGUAAACCGCUUUCGCCUGUGACGAAGCGUGAGUGACGGUAAUGGGUAAAGAAGCACCGGCUAACUACGUG
RNAcentral lists this ribosomal RNA (468 nucleotides) under uncultured bacterium. Its description in RNAcentral is "partial 16S ribosomal RNA". It matches the Rfam family "Bacterial small subunit ribosomal RNA", at positions 28 to 507 of the family's 1533-position model. The record is from RNAcentral.